RNAcentral lists this ribosomal RNA (93 nucleotides) under Bifidobacterium dentium. RNAcentral also lists the same sequence under 1 other name. Lineage: Bacteria; Bacillati; Actinomycetota; Actinomycetes; Bifidobacteriales; Bifidobacteriaceae. The record is from RNAcentral.
ACGCCCGGUCCCUUUCCGAACCCGGAAGCUAAGGCCUGGCACGGUGAUGGUACUGCACCCGGCAGGGUGUGGGAGAGUAACACGCCGCCGCAA